Molecule: small RNA, 170 nt
Filed under: Streptomyces griseofuscus
Lineage: Bacteria; Bacillati; Actinomycetota; Actinomycetes; Kitasatosporales; Streptomycetaceae
Description: c-di-AMP sequence
Rfam family: c-di-AMP riboswitch aptamer (ydaO/yuaA leader)
About the family: This family represents a conserved RNA structure found upstream of the ydaO and yuaA genes in Bacillus subtilis and related genes in other bacteria. The ydaO/yuaA element is thought to act as a genetic "off" switch for the ydaO and yuaA genes in its native state.
Source: RNAcentral
CGUGCGCACGCGCCGAAUCCCGUAAGGGAACCGGGGAACCACCACCUUGGGGUGAAUCACGCGGACACCGUCGCGGACUCAGUGAGUCCGGGGGGCGGUAUACGCGCGUAGGAGACCUUCCUGCUCCGAACCCGUCAGCUAACCCGGUAGGCGGAGGAAGGAAAGGAGCA